CGCGGAGGGGGCCCGGCCGCACCGUACGGCGCAGAUGGCCGCAAGAGGCGCAGGGCUGUAUGGAGGAGUAGCUGCAGCUGUGUCCCGUGCCACACCAGAGGAAGGAGAGUGCCCGUGUGUCAUGUGCUCCUGAGUCCAGGGAAAGGAGUGUUGUGUCUCAGCACUGCUGUUUCAGUGAGUGUGUUGUGGCUUGUGUCAUACUCCUUGACUGCAUGAAGGUGCUUUGGAGACUAGGUGCCAAAGUGGGUCUGCCCACAGCCAGUGGGUCUGCCCAUAAUACAAGAUACAGAAGGAAAAUUUUUCAUUCACCUUUACAGAUCUGCAGAAGGUGGGGAGAGGGCCAGUGGAGACAUGUAAUGAAUGUCGAUAACUACAUUUAAUUUCUUUGGCAAAUGCUAAUUUGUUAUGGACCACCAUGCUGAAGAAAAAGCCAGCCCUGUGGCUCUUGUGGCAAUGUAAUUACUUGGGGACCUUCAGCUCAUGGCAACAAAAUUGGAAGCAC
This is a long non-coding RNA of Lagopus muta (rock ptarmigan), 502 nucleotides long. RefSeq lists it as uncharacterized. The record is from RefSeq and is a predicted model, not a curated record. The transcript is spliced from 5 exons. Lineage: Eukaryota; Metazoa; Chordata; Aves; Galliformes; Phasianidae.